GGCGGGUUUCCUUGUGUAACUAAACUUCCUUCACUGCGCGCCCACGUCCAUCCGGACGGCCGUGUGAGAUUACGCUUUAAAAUCCGCACGGCCGUGCGGUCUUUAAUUCUGCAGAAAUCUGAUUUUUUCACUUUUGGCCCACUUUUUCUCUGAAUUUACAGUUUUCACCCCAAAAGUUGCCAAUUCUUCAAUUUGCACCUAAAAUACAAAUAAUAGCCAUUUUAAGCACCAAUUAUCGUAAAAACACACCAAAAGCUCCAAUUAAAAGGUACAAUUAAGUGUAUAAAUAUACACUUA
Molecule: long non-coding RNA, 297 nt
Filed under: Erythranthe guttata (spotted monkey flower)
Lineage: Eukaryota; Viridiplantae; Streptophyta; Magnoliopsida; Lamiales; Phrymaceae
Description: long non-coding RNA (EGUT_LNC001425)
Source: RNAcentral